CCAGCAGACCUUCCAGCAGUACGCCUCGCUCAGGGAGGAGGAGUGCGUCAUGAAGUUCUUCAACACUCUCGCGGGCUUCGCCAACAUCGACCAGGAGACCUACCGCUGCGAACUCAUUGUAAUGGCGGGCUCUCUUGAUCCUCCCCCUGACCUGGAUUCCAGGCAUCUCGGGAAAGGGGGCCAGGAGGGGGCAGGGAGAGGCUGCAAUCGCUGCAGAUUCUCAGGCAGCAGGGCCUCACUGACCUGCCGUCGGUGGAAGUCACAAGCAUCCCCUUGCCUGAAGCAGGCACUGAAAUGUUGGCCUCCAGCUCUGGGAGGUGGGCAGGACAGGCAAGGUGUCAGGAGGGGAAAAUCCAUAUGGCCAGGGUUUCGGUGAGAAGGAGCUGGAGACCCAGGAAACAGUGGCUUGUGUCUAGCUUAGGGAGCUUUUCUUCAAGUUUCUGAAGAAUGGGGAGGACAGCUCUGGGACAACAGUCCACUCUCCUUUUAUUCCAGCAAGGAUGGAACAUUACUGUGGACCUGGUCAUUGGCCCUAAAGGGAUCCGCCAGCUGACUAGUCAGGACGCAAAGCCCACCUGCCUGGCCGAGUUCAAGCAGAUCAGGUCCAUCAGGUGCCUCCCACUGGAGGAGGGCCAGGCAGUACUUCAGCUGGGCAUUGAAGGUGCCCCCCAGGCCUUGUCCAUCAAAACCUCGUCCCUAGCAGAGGCUGAGAACAUGGCUGACCUCAUAGACGGCUACUGCCGGCUGCAGGGGGAACACCAAGGCUCUCUCAUCAUCCAUCCUAGGAAAGAUGGUGAGAAGCGGAACAGCCUGCCCCAGAUCCCCAUGCUAAACCUGGAGGCCCGGCGGUCCCACCUCUCAGAGAGCUGCAGCAUAGAGUCAGACAUCUACGCAGAGAUUCCUGAUGAAACCCUGCGAAGGACUGGAGGUCCACAGUAUGGCAUUGCCCGUGAAGAUGUGGUCCUGAAUCGUAUUCUUGGGGAAGGCUUUUUUGGGGAGGUCUAUGAAGGUCUCUACACAAAUCACAAAGGGGAGAAAAUCAAUGUAGCUGUCAAGACCUGCAAGAAAGACUGCACUCUGGACAACAAGGAGAAGUUCAUGAGCGAGGCAGUGAUCAUGAAGAACCUCGACCACCCGCACAUCGUGAAGCUGAUUGGCAUCAUUGAAGAGGAGCCCACCUGGAUCAUCAUGGAAUUGUAUCCCUACGGGGAGCUGGGCCACUACCUGGAGCGGAACAAGAACUCCCUGAAGGUGCUCACCCUCGUGCUGUACUCACUGCAGAUAUGCAAAGCCAUGGCCUACCUGGAGAGCAUCAACUGCGUGCACAGGGACAUUGCUGUCCGGAACAUCCUGGUGGCCUCCCCUGAGUGUGUGAAGCUGGGGGACUUUGGUCUUUCCCGGUACAUUGAGGACGAGGACUAUUACAAAGCCUCUGUGACUCGUCUCCCCAUCAAAUGGAUGUCCCCAGAGUCCAUUAACUUCCGACGCUUCACGACAGCCAGUGACGUCUGGAUGUUCGCUGUGUGCAUGUGGGAGAUCCUGAGCUUUGGGAAGCAGCCCUUCUUCUGGCUGGAGAACAAGGAUGUCAUCGGGGUGCUGGAGAAAGGGGACCGGCUGCCCAAGCCUGACCUCUGUCCACCGGUCCUUUAUACCCUCAUGACCCGCUGCUGGGACUACGACCCCAGUGACCGGCCCCGCUUCACCGAGCUGGUGUGCAGCCUCAGUGACGUUUAUCAGAUGGAGAAAGACAUUGUCAUGGAGCAAGAGAGGAAUGCUCGCUACCGAACCCCCAAAAUCUUGGAGCCCACAACCUUCCAGGAACCCCCACCCAAGCCCAGCCGACCUAAGUACAGACCCCCUCCACAAACCAACCUCCUGGCUCCAAAACUACAGUUCCAGGAGGAGGAUUUCAUCCGACCCAGCAGCCGAGAAGAGGCCCAGCAGCUGUGGGAGGCUGAAAAGAUCAAAAUGCGGCAAAUCCUGGACAAACAGCAGAAGCAGAUGGUGGAGGACUACCAGUGGCUCAAGCAGGAGGAGAAGUCCCUGGACCCCAUGGUUUAUAUGAAUGAUAAGUCCCCAUUGACGCCAGAGAAGGAGGUCGGCUACAGUGAGUGUUCCCGCCCUUCUUUGGGGGGUUUCCUCUUGGCACCUUGUGCAGAGCCACCAUCCUUGCCCACCGCCCAGGACAGGGAGCUGCAGUCUGUCUGCAUUCCCUGCAGCAUCGGCCAUGAUUUAAUUCAGAGCAUGUGGGGCAGGCCAGCUUCCCCUCCGCUCCCUCCACCCCAUUCCUCUCCCUGCCCAGCACCCUGCCGUUCUCUCUCUCAACAGCCACAUCCUCAGGCCCCUCCUCAGAUCAUCCCCCUCCUGCAUUAGUUUGGAGGAGUUGGGAAUUCUCUCUUCCUUAUUUCCUGCUCUGUCAGAGGCUCCUGUGGGAAAAGUUAAGCAGUGCCACCUGCCUCUCCCAGUUCAGAUUCAUCUUCUGUAGGCCUGAGGGACAGAGGAGAGAAAGUGGGAGGGGCAGCUGAGCCCUCAGGCUCUCUCCAGAAGACCCUGUUGCAGGCAGGGAGGGAAGAGCCAGAAGUAAGCCUGGGACAUGCAGGGGUGGUAUUGAGGAGGAGGAUGAUGACAGCAGUCACAGAGAACUGGACACAAGUCAGGCAUGGGCCUGGGACCAUUUAUUAUCUUCUGAGGCACAGGGUGGUUAUGUAACUUGUCCAAAGUCACACAGCUAAUAAUUGGCAAAGUUCAGAUUUGAACCCAAGCCUUCUGACUUUAGGGUCCCUUCUGAGCUCACCCUCUUAUCUUACAAAUGAAAAUGAAGGCUCUGGGAGUGUGAGCUGCCUGGGGUGGUCACAGAGCUCUUUGGUGGCAGAGGUGAGAAUAGAAGGCCAGGUGUGAUGGCUCACACCUGUAAUCCCAGCACUUUGGGAAGAUGAGGUGGGAGGGUCACUUGAGCCCAGGAGUUUGAGACUAGCUUGGGCAACAUAGCAAGACCCCAUCUCUACAAAAAAUUAAGAAAAUUAGGCGUGGUGAUGCAUGCCUGCAAGCCCAGCUGCUCAGGAGGCCGAGGCAGGAGGAUUGCCUGAGCCUAGAAGGGUGAGCUGUGAUCACACCACUGUGCUCCAGCCUCGGUGCAAGCCCUGCCUC
Molecule: small RNA, 3147 nt
Filed under: Pongo abelii (Sumatran orangutan)
Lineage: Eukaryota; Metazoa; Chordata; Mammalia; Primates; Hominidae
Description: retained intron
Source: RNAcentral